Molecule: long non-coding RNA, 490 nt
Filed under: Gallus gallus (chicken)
Lineage: Eukaryota; Metazoa; Chordata; Aves; Galliformes; Phasianidae
Description: lncRNA (ENSGALG00010019616.1)
Source: RNAcentral
CCUGCACUGCAAGCCUUUUGAACAGAAACAUAUCAGUUCUCAGUUAUUACAGGAUUUAACUAACUUCUCAUUUCUGCUUUGGCCAUGAAAUGUUUUCAUUCAUUUCUAUACCUGUUUGGGAAGAAAGCUUAUAGCUGUCCUUCAGUGCCUCAUGGCAUCAAUUCUUCUGCAGAAAGAGAGAGUUUAUGAGAGCAGAUACACAGAAGAUAAAUAGAGACCAUGUCCUUGUAAUGAUGGCAACUGUUAACGGAGUGGAAGAAGGUUCAUUCUGGUGUCCUCAGAGAACAAGAAGCCAACAGCUGGUUGGCUUCAUUCAGCACAAUGCAGAACACACUCAUCCGACCCUUACUAACAAAGAAGACUCUGAGUCAGAACACUGCAACAAAAGAAAGGAGAGCUGUUCACAAGAAAACUCUCUGAAAUUUAAAAAUAGGGAUCAAGCUCUUUCCAAUCCCUUAUUCUCAUAAGUACCAGAAGCAAUGUAAAACAG